ACCUACAGCCAAACUUCUCUGGUUAAGCCUGUUCUCAUCAGAUCACAGAAGCAAAGCGAUGUCAGGCCUGGUCAGUACUUGGAUGGGAGACCACCUUGGUAUUUGAGGUGAAGUAGGUU
This is a ribosomal RNA of Poecilia formosa (Amazon molly), 119 nucleotides long. The record is from Ensembl. Lineage: Eukaryota; Metazoa; Chordata; Actinopteri; Cyprinodontiformes; Poeciliidae.